GGACCCGCACAAGCGGUGGAGCAUGUGGUUUAAUUCGACGCAACGCGAAGAACCUUACCAGGGCUUGACAUCCCCUGCUCGCUGUGGAAACACAGUUUUUGAGCCUUCGGGCUCAACAGGGAGACAGGUGGUGCAUGGUUGUCGUCAGCUCGUGUCGUGAGAUGUUGGGUUAAGUCCCGCAACGAGCGCAACCCCUAUUUUAGUUGCCAGCACGUAAUGGUGGGAACUCUAAAGAAACUGCCGGUGACAAACCGGAGGAAGGUGGGGAUGACGUCAAAUCAUCAUGCCCUUUAUGUCCUGGGCUACACACGUGCUACAAUGGCUGGUACAGAGGGCAGCGAAACCGCGAGGUGAAGCGAAUCUCAAAAGCCAGUCUCAGUUCGGAUUGCAGGCUGCAACUCGCCUGCAUGAAGUCGGAAUCGCUAGUAAUCGCGAGUCAGCAUAUCG
This 447-nucleotide ribosomal RNA is filed under the name uncultured Bacillota bacterium. Its description in RNAcentral is "bacterial SSU rRNA". It matches the Rfam family "Bacterial small subunit ribosomal RNA", at positions 917 to 1359 of the family's 1533-position model. The record is from RNAcentral. Lineage: Bacteria; Bacillati; Bacillota.